Molecule: long non-coding RNA, 708 nt
Organism: Mytilus californianus (California mussel)
Lineage: Eukaryota; Metazoa; Mollusca; Bivalvia; Mytilida; Mytilidae
Exons: 3
Source: RefSeq, a predicted model, not a curated record
UUUAUUUUUUUGUAUGUUUUUUAUAUUAUCAGGUAUGAUUCAUGCAGGCAUAGGAGAAACACAGCUGAAUAAUUUGCUAGCUGCCAUGAAUGUCCAUUGUCCUCAUCAUAAGUCACUAAAGUCAAGAUAAAAUGAAGUUGGAGACAUAAUAGAGUGUCAGGCAAAUGCUUCAGAAAGGAAGUUUUUACUUGACGAAGCUUUCCAGUCCAUGACCAUUGAUGCAGAAGGUAAUGAACAAGCAGGUAUUAAUGCAUCCACAGACACUUGUUGGCAGAAGAAAGGUUCUGGAAGGGCUUACAAUAGUUUGUCAGGCUAGUGAAGCAGCUGGAUUGUCACCUGGGAAUGAGACUAUCAAGAGGGCUAUACGAUUGAAUAGAAAGAGGAAUAAAAAAUCUGAAAGAGACAAAACAAAGCAGCACAAAAAAGAAGAAUCAAUCUAAAAAAAGAAAGAUCAGGAAAAAGUACCGGUGUUGAAAUAAGAGAAGGAAGAACUUAUGAAAGUGAAAUAGGUACAUCCUUAACUUUUUAAAUUGUCUUGGAAUUUAAACUUUGACUUCAUUUAACUUAUUGCAAAGGAGAAGGUCCGGUAAGGUCUAGUUUUGGCCUAAAAUUCGAAGUACAUCUGAUGAAAGAGUUUUUACAUUUUUCAAACACUUAAGUGUCUACUUCAGUCGAUUCAAUUAGUUUAUGUAAAAUAUUUGAACUGAU